CUUCAACGAGCCCAGCCACAGGGGCCGUUCGGCGGGCCGGUCCUGGCCGUAGGUGGCCAGCAGGGCCUGCGCCUC
Molecule: non-coding RNA, 75 nt
Organism: Kitasatospora cheerisanensis KCTC 2395
Lineage: Bacteria; Bacillati; Actinomycetota; Actinomycetes; Kitasatosporales; Streptomycetaceae
Rfam family: ASpks TB sRNA
Source: Rfam